Molecule: ribosomal RNA, 563 nt
Filed under: Bos taurus (domestic cattle)
Lineage: Eukaryota; Metazoa; Chordata; Mammalia; Artiodactyla; Bovidae
Description: partial 16S ribosomal RNA
Rfam family: Bacterial large subunit ribosomal RNA
Source: RNAcentral
AAAAACAUCACCUCCAGCAUUCCCAGUAUUGGAGGCAUUGCCUGCCCAGUGACAACUGUUUAACGGCCGCGGUAUCCUGACCGUGCAAAGGUAGCAUAAUCAUUUGUUCUCUAAAUAAGGACUUGUAUGAAUGGCCGCACGAGGGUUUUACUGUCUCUUACUUCCAAUCAGUGAAAUUGACCUUCCCGUGAAGAGGCGGGAAUGCACAAAUAAGACGAGAAGACCCUAUGGAGCUUUAACUAACCAACCCAAAGAGAAUAGAUUUAACCAUUAAGGAAUAACAACAAUCUCCAUGAGUUGGUAGUUUCGGUUGGGGUGACCUCGGAGAAUAAAAAAUCCUCCGAGCGAUUUUAAAGACUAGACCCACAAGUCAAAUCACUCUAUCGCUCAUUGAUCCAAAAACUUGAUCAACGGAACAAGUUACCCUAGGGAUAACAGCGCAAUCCUAUUCAAGAGUCCAUAUCGACAAUAGGGUUUACGACCUCGAUGUUGGAUCAGGACAUCCUGAUGGUGCAACCGCUAUCAAAGGUUCGUUUGUUCAACGAUUAAAGUCCUACAUGAUC